GUGGGGAAUUUUGGUCAAUGGGGGCAACCCUGAACCAGCAACGCCGCGUGGGUGAUGAAGGCCUUCGGGUUGUAAAGCCCUGUCGGGAGGGACGAAUCCCCAGAGUAACGAACUGGGUUGACGGUACCUUCAAAGGAAGCACCGGCUAACUCUGUGCCAGCAGCCGCGGUAAUACAGAGGGUGCAAGCGUUGUUCGGAAUUACUGGGCGUAAAGCGCGUGUAGGCGGUUUGCUAAGUCUUGUGUGAAAGCCCUGGGCUCAACCCAGGAAGUGCGCAAGAUACUGGUGAACUGGAGUAACGGAGAGGAUGGCGGAAUACCCGGUGUAGAGGUGAAAUUCGUAGAUAUCGGGUGGAACACCUGUGGCGAAGGCGGCCAUCUGGACGUUCACUGACGCUGAGACGCGAAAGCAUGGGGAGCAAACAGGAUUAGAUACCCCGGUAGUCC
Molecule: ribosomal RNA, 445 nt
Filed under: uncultured bacterium
Lineage: Bacteria
Description: bacterial SSU rRNA
Rfam family: Bacterial small subunit ribosomal RNA
Source: RNAcentral